GCCCUACGGGAGGCAGCAGUGAGGGAUAUUGGGCAAUGGGGGAAACCCUGACCCAGCGACGCCGCGUGAGGGAAGACGGUCUUCGGAUUGUAAACCUCUGUCUUUGGGGACGAAAAAGGACGGUACCCAAGGAGGAAGCUCCGGCUAACUACGUGCCAGCAGCCGCGGUAAUACGUAGGGAGCGAGCGUUGUCCGGAAUUACUGGGUGUAAGGGGCGCGUAGGCGGGAUGGCAAGUCAGAUGUGAAGUCCGGGGGCUCAACCCCUGAACUGCAUUUGAAACUGUCGUUCUUGAGUACUGGAGAGG
This 305-nucleotide ribosomal RNA is filed under the name uncultured bacterium. Its description in RNAcentral is "bacterial SSU rRNA". It matches the Rfam family "Bacterial small subunit ribosomal RNA", at positions 335 to 657 of the family's 1533-position model. The record is from RNAcentral.